CAGGCCUAACACAUGCAAGUCGAACGCGAAAGCGGCCUUCGGGCCGCGAGUAGAGUGGCAGACGGGUGAGUAACGCGUGGGUGACCUACCUUCGAGUGGGGGACAACCUUCCGAAAGGGAGGCUAAUACCGCAUAACAUCCCGCCCUUGGAUGGGCGGUGAUCAAAGCCGGGGAUCUUCGGACCCGGCGCUUGUAGACGGACCCGCGUCCGAUUAGCUUGUUGGUGGGGUAGCGGCCUACCAAGGCGACGAUCGGUAGCCGGCCUUAGAGGGCGGACGGCCACACUGGGACUGAGAUACGGCCCAGACUUCUACGGGAGGCAGCAGUAGGGAAUUGUUCGCAAUGGGCGAAAGCCUGACGACGCAACGCCGCGUGGAGGAUGAAGACCUUCGGGUUGUAAACUCCUGUCGAGCGGGAAGAAUUGUCCGCGGGUCAAUACCCCGUGGGCUUGACGGUACCGCUAAAGGAAGCCCCGGCUAACUCCGUGCCAGCAGCCGCGGUAAUACGGGGGGG
Molecule: ribosomal RNA, 513 nt
Filed under: uncultured bacterium
Lineage: Bacteria
Description: bacterial SSU rRNA
Rfam family: Bacterial small subunit ribosomal RNA
Source: RNAcentral